Molecule: long non-coding RNA, 1634 nt
Organism: Paramormyrops kingsleyae
Lineage: Eukaryota; Metazoa; Chordata; Actinopteri; Osteoglossiformes; Mormyridae
Source: RefSeq, a predicted model, not a curated record
AAAAGCGACAUCAGUGUACGGGAACAAUCCCGUCUAAUAACAGCAAUUUUUGUUACAAAGAAAUAAAUCGACUACCACCCAAUGCUUAAAGAAUAAGCAGCUACGGAUAUUACCGUCCACCAUCUAGUUACCUUUCAGAUUUGGCUGAGAAAAAAAGGAAGAAGUAGAAGAAAAAAAAGUGAGUUGCUGCAGUAUUUCCUGUGAGAGAGGAAGAAGGAAGUGGCUGGUGGAGAGAGAUUCUGGAGUCUGCUCCCUCAAAACAAUAAAAAUCUUACUUGUGAAGGAAACGGACCUGCGUCAAAGGGGACCUGACAGAGUGUUUGAAAGGCCAGUAGCAAUGACCCAUUGGACACGUGAGCAUAUGAUUGUUUGCCUGAAGUCUUUAGUCCAGCUCUUUGCACUCCCACAGAGCACAAAGACCACUUCUGUCGUUUAAAAACAAUAGCCACUGCAAAAGGGGAUUUGUUGUAAGGUUUACAUUACUGGAAUAUAUUAUUUUUGGUAAGAAAUAAAUUUUAAAUAUGGCAUCUUCUCAUAGUGAGAAUUUGUGUGCUUUCUAGCACUUAUUUGUCUGUAACUUCUUUCAAGAAAGUGCAGAGAUAAUGGAGCAAAGUGUAACCAUAGAGUAACACUAAAGUAUAGUGCUGUGUAGCGCUUAAACAUUUUAAGUAAACAACAUUAAUAUAGUGCCAUUAAAUAUACAUUCAAAAUGUACGAUUGAACCACAGGCACAAAUUACCUUCUAGUUUAAAAAGGGGUUUGUCAAGCCAGUUAAUAAUAAUUCCAAAAAAGAAGAACAAAUGUUUUUAGAGAAGUAUGGACCCAAACAGGAUAGGAAGGUUUCUGGCUUAGCACAUGUAUCGAAAGCUAUGUUUUGACUUGGAGUCAACAAAGACUGUGCCUGCUCUGCAUGACUCUGGCACCAGUUCUCAUCAAGGAGAUCCUCUGGUCCAGCUGGAAAGUCCCACACAUGUUCUUUAGGACUAAGGCUCAAUAACUGGCAAGGCUUCUGCACUUCUGUAACCACAAGUUGACAAGGUUUUGCCUGUGGAUUGAAGCACUGUCAUCCCUUAAAGUCAUCGCUCCCAGCAUGGAAGAAUCAUGAUGGCACAACGUGACUGUUAUAUUGGAAUGCACACUCUGCUUCUGACUGAAUGAUUGGCUGUAGGCAAAGCCAGAGAGUCAUGCCCCAUACCGUUUUGGAGCUGCCAGCAAUACUUAGUGCUGAAGCCGAGCACUUUGUUCUGUCGGAACGCGUAUUCGUGUCUGUUUGCAGUGAACAUUGUGGGAGACAAUGCUCCACACUAUCAUUCUCUACUCCAAAACUGUCCCACAUGAAUAAAGCGGUUUCUGGUCUUGUGAGCAGUUUGCUGUGGAAACCUCCUGUGGGACUGAGGCCUGAAAAGUUCUCUUUGUCCAACUAGACACGCAAGAUACAUACAGUAUAGGCUACUUCUGUGUCGCUUUUUUGGUUCUCUUCACAGUGCAAACUAAUAUCUCUGAAUUUUAGCUUUUUAUGUGGCCUUUGCCCAGGUAAUGAUAAUAUCCCUGCAUUCUCGUGAUUGGAAGAACUCCAGUUUACCGGUACUCAUACAAGUGCAAAUGGCAAAUAAAGAAUUCAUCAUAUUCCCCAA